RNAcentral lists this ribosomal RNA (425 nucleotides) under uncultured bacterium. RNAcentral describes it as "bacterial SSU rRNA". It matches the Rfam family "Bacterial small subunit ribosomal RNA", at positions 354 to 796 of the family's 1533-position model. The record is from RNAcentral.
GUCGGGAAUUUUGCGCAAUGGACGAAAGUCUGACGCAGCAACGCCGCGUGAGGGAUGACGGCCUUCGGGUUGUAAACCUCUUUUGUCAGGGACGAUGAUGACGGUACCUGACGAAUAAGCCACGGCUAACUACGUGCCAGCAGCCGCGGUAAUACGUAGGUGGCAAGCGUUGUCCGGAUUUACUGGGCGUAAAGAGCGCGCAGGCGGUCGUUCAAGUCGCGUGUGAAAGCCCCCGGCUCAACUGGGGAGGGUCACGCGAUACUGAUCGACUCGAAGGCAGGAGAGGGUAGUGGAAUUCCCGGUGUAGUGGUGAAAUGCGUAGAUAUCGGGAGGAACACCAGUGGCGAAGGCGACUACCUGGCCUGUUCUUGACGCUGAGGCGCGAAAGCUAGGGGAGCAAACGGGAUUAGAAACCCGAGUAGUCC